GGCUCAUUGGUCUAUGGGUGUGAUUCUCGCUUUGGUUGUGAGAGGACCCGGGUUCAAUACCCGGAUGAGCCC
Non-coding RNA from Danio rerio (zebrafish), 72 nucleotides. Lineage: Eukaryota; Metazoa; Chordata; Actinopteri; Cypriniformes; Danionidae. The record is from Rfam.